Molecule: small RNA, 97 nt
Filed under: Microcebus murinus (gray mouse lemur)
Lineage: Eukaryota; Metazoa; Chordata; Mammalia; Primates; Cheirogaleidae
Description: Y RNA (ENSMICG00000025258.3)
Source: RNAcentral
AGAAAGUCAUACAGUGGUGCUCAUAACUAAUUGAUCAAAAUCAGUUACAGAUUCUUUUGCUUGCUCCACUCCCACUAUUUCACCUGACUAGCCUAAA